GGAUUGAUCCUGGCUCAGAUUGAACGCUGGCGGCAGGCCUAACACAUGCAAGUCGAGCGGUAACAGAGAGUAAGCUUGCUUACUUUGCUGACGAGCGGCGGACGGGUGAGUAAUGCCUAGGGAUCUGCCCAGUCGAGGGGGAUAACAGUUGGAAACGACUGCUAAUACCGCAUACGCCCUACGGGGGAAAGGAGGGGACCUUCGGGCCUUCCGCGAUUGGAUGAACCUAGGUGGGAUUAGCUAGUUGGUGAGGUAAUGGCUCACCAAGGCGACGAUCCCUAGCUGUUCUGAGAGGAUGAUCAGCCACACUGGGACUGAGACAC
RNAcentral lists this ribosomal RNA (323 nucleotides) under Shewanella frigidimarina. RNAcentral's name for it is "bacterial SSU rRNA". It matches the Rfam family "Bacterial small subunit ribosomal RNA", at positions 10 to 327 of the family's 1533-position model. Lineage: Bacteria; Pseudomonadati; Pseudomonadota; Gammaproteobacteria; Alteromonadales; Shewanellaceae. The record is from RNAcentral.